GAAGAACCAUUUAUAAGAAGAAGAACACCUGUUUCAAACUUUGGCGGGGUUGAAAUUGGCACAUAUGCUGUUGAGUACAUCUGGCAACGGUGAAGUCCAUGGACAUCGUCAAGUUUGCGGUUAAUGUUGAAUGAACUGAAAGAAAGAUACGCCAAAGAAAGCAGGUGAGAUAAGUCCAAAUACACAGAAAGGACAUUUGUUAAACUUCCAUUGGUUGUGAUAAUGUGAAACCACCAGGGACGCUGGAAAUCAAUUAACGUUAGUUGGGGGUGUUGAGAGUCAGUCUAUAUAAUGUUAUAAAUGUAGCUAAAUCAUCAUAGUUUAUAAUACUACAGAGCAGUGAGGAGGACACAGCCAGUCCAUACAGGACAACCAGCAGCAAACCCGUUCAUGUGAAACUAUGAAGGUAAAUAUGGUGCAAAAUGUGUGAGCUUGUAGAAUACGAUGUGAGAACUGCCACAGCCAGCCUGCUUCUAAAUAAAUACUUUUAAAAAAAAAUUGUUUUUAAUUGUCCAAACACUUUUUAACGCAAACACUUGACAGCUGUGAGCUCCAGGUCCAAACACUGCCUUUUUUUUAGUUUGACUGUUAGUGUUUAGACAAUAAUAGGUAUUUAUUUAGAAGCUGGCUGGUUAGUUGGCUAACGCUACCAUGCUAUUCCACGGUGCGCGUGUGUGCGUUUGCGAGCUCUGGAAUUAAAAUGACUGUCGAGUAUGUGAUGAGAACUUUACUAAAAAAAAUAUAAUUGUUCUGUUCUAGCUCGGAGGAUGUUUCCCAGAUCAACCGGAGUUUAGUGUUAUGGGAGUGGUUGUGUUCUCCCGUCCUGUGUGUGUUCUCUCUCUGUCCCCCCCCCCUUUGCCCUGUCUGUCUGUUUUGCUGGAGCGGCUGAAAGUAGGUCAAGGGGCGUGGCCGGGUGAUCUACCUACCUGCACGGCUGCCGGCAAUCCUGCAAUCACCUUCUGCUCAGCUGUUACAGAUUCCCCUGAUCACGGCUGCAGUAUUUAGACUCGGUUGGAACCUGUCUUCGGCGCCAGAUCGUUACAGCUACCAAAGUGACCUCCACCACCCGACCUGUUGCCUGUAGACGGCUGUUCCGCCAGCCGUUCGUUUUUCAGACCAUCUAUCUCCCUGUUUGGAUUCCUGUGAGAGUUGUUUUGGACACGCUACAGUCUGCCCACGCCCGCUGCAGUCCUGUCUUCCCCACUUGCACAGCUAA
Molecule: long non-coding RNA, 1216 nt
Organism: Perca flavescens (yellow perch)
Lineage: Eukaryota; Metazoa; Chordata; Actinopteri; Perciformes; Percidae
Exons: 3
Source: RefSeq, a predicted model, not a curated record